UGCCGCGUGAGUGAUGAAGGCCUUCGGGUUGUAAAGCUCUUUUGUCCGGGAAGAUAAUGACGGUACCGAUAGAAUAAGCCCCGGCUAACUUCGUGCCAGCAGCCGCGGUAAUACGAAGGGGGCUAGCGUUGUUCGGAAUUACUGGGCGUAAAGGGUGCGUAAGCGGUUCUUUAAGUCAGGUGUGAAAUCCUGGAGCUCAACUCGAAAACUGCCUUUGAGACUGAAGAUCUUGAGUUCGGGAGAGGUGAGUGGAAUUGCGAGUGUAGCGGUGAAAUGCGUAUAUAUUCGGAGGAACACCAGUGGCGAAUGCGGCUCACUGGACCGAUACUGACGCUGAGGCACGAAAGCGUGGGGAGCAAACAGGAUUAAAUACCCUGGUAGUCCACGCCCUAAACGAUGAUUGCUUGCCGU
RNAcentral lists this ribosomal RNA (411 nucleotides) under uncultured Bradyrhizobium sp. RNAcentral's name for it is "bacterial SSU rRNA". It matches the Rfam family "Bacterial small subunit ribosomal RNA", at positions 395 to 823 of the family's 1533-position model. The record is from RNAcentral. Lineage: Bacteria; Pseudomonadati; Pseudomonadota; Alphaproteobacteria; Hyphomicrobiales; Nitrobacteraceae.